Molecule: transfer RNA, 64 nt
Filed under: Antialcidas floripennae
Lineage: Eukaryota; Metazoa; Arthropoda; Insecta; Hemiptera; Membracidae
Description: tRNA-Ser
Source: RNAcentral
AGUUAAUUAGUUUAAAAUUAAAACAUAUAUUUUGAAAAUAUAUAAUAGAGAAAUUUAUUAACUU